This is a long non-coding RNA of Macadamia integrifolia, 1762 nucleotides long. RefSeq lists it as uncharacterized. NCBI's taxonomy places the organism in Eukaryota, Viridiplantae, Streptophyta, Magnoliopsida, Proteales, Proteaceae. The record is from RefSeq and is a predicted model, not a curated record. The transcript is spliced from 10 exons.
UCUCAAGCUUUUCUUAUCUGCGCUUUUGUGUACUUCUUUAUUUCUUUUCUUGUUGAGUAUAAUCUUGAUUCGCAUGCUCUUAUAAAAAAUAAAAUAAAUAAAUAAAUCUUGAUUCUCAUGCAAUGCCGAUUGAAUGCUUCAGCCAAGUUUUGAUUCUUGUUUUUUCUAAAUUUUUGUACUUCCUGUUGUUUCUUUCAUUGAUUUUUUGCCUCCUUUGAUAAUGGGUUGUUCGAUUUCGAUGCCAAUCUUCCAAGUUUUUUAUAGUAAUUUUGAUUCUUACAUAUGAGUUGUUUUGUUCUAACCAAGGUAAACAGAACAUUUAUUCUUCCCUCUCCCUUUCUCUCUCUCAUGCUGUUUGAACUCUAUAGUCUGUACCGUUGGUCACAAAGUCUGAAUCUGCAAUGGUGUUUCCAUACAUGGAAGCUAUUGUGGUUUUGAGUGGUAGCAGUGCUUAAGCGCUUGAAAGGCCCCCCCUCCCUCAUUGCCUCUUCAUCUCCUUCUUCCUCUCUUGCUCCCACCUGAAGUUCCAAACCCAGUAUGCACCCCAGGAUUUGGCUCUUCUAUGGCGCGGGGUUGCGCCACACAUCGUCUGGCAUGGCCCAUUCUCUGUCUUCUCCCCCGCCACCAUUGCCGACCUCCGCGCCGCCUGUGUCCGUGAAAUGGGGAAAGGAACAGGAAGCUUUGGUAAGAAGAGGAACAAGACUCACACGCCCUGUGAGGUGUGGAUGCCGCAGCUUUCAUCUUCAGAAGAGCAGAUGCGCUGAUCAAGAUACGUAACUAAGCCUUCCCCUGUUUACAUCAACAACUGUUAUGGGUUUUCUUUUGAUUUGGGUUUUUUUUUUUUUUUUUCUCUUAACCUCUUGAUGUGAUUUCAGAUAACUGGAGCGUGAAGGCCAUUAGGAGGAAGACGAUCGGAAUUGGUCAGAUGAGGUAUUCAAGCAGCUCCAAGGAGGAAGGGGGAGCCGCAGCCGGUUUUAAAAUAUCGAUAUACAUUUUCUCGACAAAUUUGUCUUUGCGGCAACAUGCUGCUCUCAAGUUUUUAACACUUCCCAAACCUUUAGAAGGAGUUAUCAGACGGGAAGAAUUUGAGAAGUCUCGAGCCUCUAAUCUUGAUAAAUGGCAAGGAGAUCAAUCCAUUCUUCAGUCCACCUCAGAAUAAAAAUCGUCCCGAUAUAGAGAGUCGUCUUGGGAGAGAGCUUCCUGUAUCCGACUUCCCUUGUGAUGACCAUAGCUUUCUCAAGCUUUUUCUAUAUGGAUUUCAGAGUAUAAGAUACGUUUUUGCUCCUGCUGGAUUCCUUGAUUAUCCUCAUAGAGGUUUGAGAUUCCACUCAUUGGUGUCAAUACAAGUGGAGAGGCACAUAUAGGGAGUAUCAUGAGAAUGUUACCUGAGAAGGAGAAGAACAUCAUCGAAGCUCUCCACAACUACCUCUUCAAGUCAGAGAUCAAAGCUUAUAUUGCCGAGCCCGAACAAGUGUUGUGGAUUAAUCUUGCAGAAUUGGAGUUGUUACUAAUGUCAUCUUGGAGCUUGGUUUGGGAUACAAAUCUAUCAUGUAUGGUAUUGCAGUCGCUACUCUAAAAAAGUUAGUAUAAUUGUCGGAUAUUGCCACUUCAAAAUAUUAUAGCAUUCUAUGUUGGCUACUUUUACUUAAUGUUAGAUUAAAACAAUACUUUGAAGGCAAUUCUAGACCUAUCUAUAUUUUUAAUAAAUAUGUAAACUAAUGAAAUUAUUAUUGAUUAAAAUAACGUUAUUUUAUCUAUCAAA